AUUGAACGCUGGCGGCAGGCCUAACACAUGCCAGUCGAACGGUAACAGGAAACAGCUUGCUGUUUCGCUGACGAGUGGCGGACGGGUGAGUAAUGUCUGUGACACUUCCUGGUGGAGGGGGUUAACUACUGGAAACGGUAGCUAAUACCGCCUAGCGUCGCAAGACCAAAGAGGUGGACCUUCGGGCCUCUUGCCUUCGGCUGUGCCCAGAUGGGAUUAGCUAGUGGGUGGGGUAACGGCUUACCAAGGCGACGAUCCCUAGCUGGUCUGAGAGGAUGACCAGCCACACUGGAACUGAGACACGGUCCAGACUCCUACGGGAGGCAGCAGUGGGGAAUAUUGCACAAUGGGCGCAAGCCUGAUGCAGCCAUGCCGCGUGUAUGAAGAAGGUCUUCGGGUUGUAAAGUACUUUAAGCGGGGAGGAAGGGAGUAAAGUUAAUACCUUUGCGUAUUGACGUUACCAGCAGAAGAAGCACCGGCUAACUCCGUG
RNAcentral lists this ribosomal RNA (490 nucleotides) under uncultured bacterium. RNAcentral describes it as "partial 16S ribosomal RNA". It matches the Rfam family "Bacterial small subunit ribosomal RNA", at positions 30 to 507 of the family's 1533-position model. The record is from RNAcentral.